This 507-nucleotide ribosomal RNA is filed under the name uncultured bacterium. Its description in RNAcentral is "partial 16S ribosomal RNA". It matches the Rfam family "Bacterial small subunit ribosomal RNA", at positions 28 to 507 of the family's 1533-position model. The record is from RNAcentral.
GACGAACGCUGGCGGCGUGCCUAAUACAUGCAAGUCGAACGCAUUUUCUUUCACCGUAGCUUGCUACACCGAAAGAAAAUGAGUGGCGAACGGGUGAGUAACACGUGGGUAACCUGCCCAUCAGCGGGGGAUAACACUUGGAAACAGGUGCUAAUACCGCAUAAUUCCAUUUACCGCAUGGUAGAUGGGUGAAAGGCGCUUUUGCGUCACUGAUGGAUGGACCCGCGGUGCAUUAGCUAGUUGGUGGGGUAACGGCCUACCAAGGCUGCGAUGCAUAGCCGACCUGAGAGGGUGAUCGGCCACACUGGGACUGAGACACGGCCCAGACUCCUACGGGAGGCAGCAGUAGGGAAUCUUCGGCAAUGGACGCAAGUCUGACCGGGCAACGCCGCGUGAGUGAAGAAGGUUUUCGGAUCGUAAAACUCUGUUGUUAGAGAAGAACAAGGAUGAGAGUGGAAAGUUCAUCCCUUGACGGUAUCUAACCAGAAAGCCACGGCUAGCUACGUG